UAGGGAAGAUUGGUCAAUGGACGCAAGUCUGAACCAGCCAUGCCGCGUGAAGGAUGAAGGUCCUCUGGAUUGUAAACUUCUUUUAUCUGGGACGAAAACGGGAUUUUUAUCUCAAUUGACGGUACCAGAGGAAUAAGCACCGGCUAACUCCGUGCCAGCAGCCGCGGUAAUACGGAGGGUGCGAGCGUUAUCCGGAUUUACUGGGUUUAAAGGGUGCGUAGGUGGGCUUAUAAGUCAGUGGUGAAAUCUCCGAGCUUAACUUGGAAACUGCCGUUGAUACUAUAGGUCUUGAAUUAUCUGGAGGUAAGCGGAAUAUGUCAUGUAGCGGUGAAAUGCUUAGAUAUGACAUAGAACACCAAUUGCGAAGGUAGCUUACUACAUAUAAAUUGACGCUGAGGCACGAAAGCGUGGGGAUCAAACG
RNAcentral lists this ribosomal RNA (421 nucleotides) under uncultured bacterium. RNAcentral describes it as "bacterial SSU rRNA". It matches the Rfam family "Bacterial small subunit ribosomal RNA", at positions 355 to 774 of the family's 1533-position model. The record is from RNAcentral.